This is a long non-coding RNA of Stomoxys calcitrans (stable fly), 397 nucleotides long. RefSeq lists it as uncharacterized. The transcript is spliced from 2 exons. The record is from RefSeq and is a predicted model, not a curated record. NCBI's taxonomy places the organism in Eukaryota, Metazoa, Arthropoda, Insecta, Diptera, Muscidae.
UUCAACGACAAAGAACGAAUAUUAAAAAAAAAAAGGUGGCGAUGUUAACUUCAUCAUCACCCCCACUUAAUUGCGAAUGGUGUACAAAGAGAAACGAAUUAAAACUUUGUUAAAUAACUAUUGGAAACAUGGGCAAGUCUAACUGUUCUGCACAGUCAUCUUAUCGCUCAGCGGCGGCAGCAGCUUUCUAUGCUUUUUCGCCUCUUAAAUUUCGUUGCCUCUACCACCACCACCAUACUACAUACAAUACGUGUCACAAAAAUUAUUCACCGAGAAAGAGGGAGUACGGUGAUAUUGCCAGACGACAAGUGAGCUGUUUUUGUUGCAAAAUUUUUAUAAGUUUUUCUUUAUAAAGACUUACCCAUUAAAUCGGAGGCUAAUGCUUCCUUUUGGUCUA